CACGCCGUAAACGAUGGAUACUAGCUGUUGGAGGUAUCGACCCCUUCAGUAGCGAAGCUAACGCGUUAAGUAUCCCGCCUGUGGAGUACGGCCGCAAGGCUAAAACAUAAAGGAAUUGACGGGGACCCGCACAAGCGGUGGAUCAUGUUCUUUAAUUCGAUGAUAAACGAAGAACCUUACCAGGGUUUGACAUCCCGAGAAUUACUCCGAAAGGAGUGAGUGCUUUAUUGAACUCGGUGACAGAUGU
Molecule: ribosomal RNA, 247 nt
Filed under: uncultured Candidatus Saccharibacteria bacterium
Lineage: Bacteria; Candidatus Saccharimonadota
Description: partial 16S ribosomal RNA
Rfam family: Bacterial small subunit ribosomal RNA
Source: RNAcentral